This 77-nucleotide transfer RNA is filed under the name Thermodesulfovibrio yellowstonii DSM 11347. RNAcentral describes it as "tRNA-Thr". It matches the Rfam family "tRNA". Rfam says of the family: Transfer RNA (tRNA) molecules are approximately 80 nucleotides in length. Their secondary structure includes four short double-helical elements and three loops (D, anti-codon, and T loops). Lineage: Bacteria; Pseudomonadati; Nitrospirota; Thermodesulfovibrionia; Thermodesulfovibrionales; Thermodesulfovibrionaceae. The record is from RNAcentral.
AGCCGGGAUAGCUCAGCGGUAGAGCAGUCGAUUCGUAAUCGACCGGUCGUGGGUUCAAAUCCCAUUCCCGGCUUUUA